RNAcentral lists this long non-coding RNA (397 nucleotides) under Vigna radiata. Its description in RNAcentral is "long non-coding RNA (VRAD_LNC010021)". Lineage: Eukaryota; Viridiplantae; Streptophyta; Magnoliopsida; Fabales; Fabaceae. The record is from RNAcentral.
CCGUAAUUGUUCUGAUAUUAGGAAAAUAUUUAUUAGUGAAUUUGGAGACAACAAGAACAAGGGUCAAGGGUUACAACAAGAACAAAAUAUGAUGAAUAUAAAAAACUUAUUUGUAUGAUUUUUUGUGUUUGUUUUUGAAUGACAUUUUGAUUAUAUUGUACUUUUUAUUUUGAAUUGUCUUUAACAUAAUUUUUUGGGAGUGAAAAUUGUUUAAAUUUAAAUUACAGAAAGUUUGUAUUUUUUUUUAUUUUAAAAAAAAUGUAAUUAACUGGGCUAGUGAGCCAACCCGUUUACCCACCAACCCGUGGUGGGUCGGGCCGGGUUCAAGUUUUUCUGGCUCGCUAAUAAAUGAGCCGGGUUGGAUUGACUCACUAAGUGACCAACCCGUGGUGGGCCG